GUAGAACGUCAGGUGGUGGGGCCGCGGUAACACCGAGAUGAGGCCUCCGGGCGGCCUAGAGGGGCCUGCGUGCGCUCGCGCUUCCGGGUUGGUGGUGUGGCGGGCUCUGGAGUGUAGAGGGUUCCCGCAAGUUGAUCGUCAGUUUACCCAGUCACGGCGGCACCUUCUGUGCUCCCAGCCUGCCACAAGCGCACCGUCCUAUGUGAGUUCCCCGCGCCCGGGGUGGAACUGGGCCCUGGGGGCGCUCCCGCCAACGGCGCUCCCAGGGCGCGGGGCGUCAUUCCAGUGUUCCUUACAGUCUCCCUGUGCUGUCAGACCCACGUGCCCUGUGAGCGCACUGCAAACCCUGCAGAGUGGAGACCCGGUAGCCCUGCGUGGGAGCCAGGAAGGCUCUUGGGUGGGGCGUCACAGGCUUCAGUGAAACAGGGAAGGGUCCCUAGCACCCCUGCUGUCCUCUUGGCUUCUAAGGUCUCCUUAUGCAAAGCCGGAAGACAGUGCAAGAAGCCAGGGACACCAGUCAUGCUUCCAACUGCUUGGCCUCAGGCUGGAAGCUCCAUCCUGCCUAUGAAUGGAAAACCACUGCUUUGGGCAUCAGAGGCUGGAAAUAGACUGGGAGCUUCCUGUCAAGGCCUGUGAGGACACCCGUGCAGGUUCUAGGGGUAAAACUCAGGUCAUCAGA
This is a long non-coding RNA of Onychomys torridus (southern grasshopper mouse), 679 nucleotides long. RefSeq lists it as uncharacterized. The record is from RefSeq and is a predicted model, not a curated record. Lineage: Eukaryota; Metazoa; Chordata; Mammalia; Rodentia; Cricetidae. The transcript has 3 exons.